This 913-nucleotide ribosomal RNA is filed under the name uncultured archaeon. RNAcentral describes it as "bacterial SSU rRNA". It matches the Rfam family "Archaeal small subunit ribosomal RNA", at positions 1 to 922 of the family's 1478-position model. The record is from RNAcentral.
UUCCGGUUGAUCCCGCCGGACCUGACUGCUAUCGGAUUGAUACUAAGCCAUGCGAGUCAUUGUAGUAAUACAAGGCAGACGGCUCAGUAACGCGUAGUCAACCUACCCUAUGGACGGGGAUAACCUCGGGAAACUGAGAAUAAUACCCGAUAGAACAUUAUACCUGGAAUGGUUUAUGUUUCAAAUAAUUUAUUGCCGUAGGAUGGGACUGCGGCCUAUCAGUUUGUUGGUGAGGUAAUGGCCCACCAAGACUAUUACAGGUACGGGCUCUGAGAGGAGUAGCCCGGAGAUGGGUACUGAGACACGGACCCAGGCCCUAUGGGGCGCAGCAGGCGAGAAAACUUUGCAAUGUGCGAAAGCACGACAAGGUUAAUCCGAGUGGUUUCUGCUAAAGGAACCUUUUGUCAGUCCUAGAAACACUGGUGAAUAAGGGGUGGGCAAGUUCUGGUGUCAGCCGCCGCGGUAAAACCAGCACCUCAAGUGGUCAGGAUGAUUAUUGGGCCUAAAGCAUCCGUAGCCUGCUUUGUUAGUUUUCGGUUAAAUCCAUACGCUUAACGUAUGGGCUGCCGGGAAUACUGCAAAGCUAGGGAGUGGGAGAGGUAGACGGUACUCGGUAGGAAGGGGUAAAAUCCUUUGAUCUAUUGAUGACCACCUGUGGCGAAGGCGGUCUACCAGAACACGUCCGACGGUGAGGGAUGAAAGCUGGGGGAGCAAACCGGAUUAGAUACCCGGGUAGUCCCAGCUGUAAACUAUGCAAACUCGGUGAUGCAUUGGCUUGAUGCCAAUGCAGUGCCGCACGGAAGCCGUUAAGUUUGCCGCCUGGGAAGUACGUACGCAAGUAUGAAACUUAAAGGAAUUGGCGGGGGAGCACCACAAGGGUGAAGCCUGCGGUUCAAUUGGAGUCAACGCCGGA